GACGAACGCUGGCGGCGUGCUUAACACAUGCAAGUCGAACGGAAAGGCCCUGCUUUUGUGGGGUGCUCGAGUGGCGAACGGGUGAGUAACACGUGAGUAACCUGCCCUUGACUUUGGGAUAACUUCAGGAAACUGGGGCUAAUACCGGAUAGGAGCUCCUGCUGCAUGGUGGGGGUUGGAAAGUUUCGGCGGUUGGGGAUAGACUCGCGGCUUAUCAGCUUGUUGGUGGGGUAGUGGCUUACCAAGGCUUUGACGGGUAGCCGGCCUGAGAGGGUGACCGGCCACAUGGGGACUGAGAUACGGCCCAGACUCCUACGGGAGGCAGCAGUGGGGAAUAUUGCACAAUGGGCGGAAGCCUGAUGCAGCAACGCCGCGUGCGGGAUGACGGCCUUCGGGUUGUAAACCGCUUUCGCCUGUGACGAAGCGUGAGUGACGGUAAUGGGUAAAGAAGCACCGGCUAACUACGUG
This 468-nucleotide ribosomal RNA is filed under the name uncultured bacterium. RNAcentral describes it as "partial 16S ribosomal RNA". It matches the Rfam family "Bacterial small subunit ribosomal RNA", at positions 28 to 507 of the family's 1533-position model. The record is from RNAcentral.